RNAcentral lists this non-coding RNA (941 nucleotides) under Fejervarya sp. Andaman Island. RNAcentral describes it as "partial 12S ribosomal RNA". It matches the Rfam family "Bacterial small subunit ribosomal RNA", at positions 398 to 1503 of the family's 1533-position model. Lineage: Eukaryota; Metazoa; Chordata; Amphibia; Anura; Dicroglossidae. The record is from RNAcentral.
GAUGAACCCUAAAAAGUUCUGAGAGCAUAAAGGCUUGGUCCUAGUCUUACUAUCAACUAUCUCUUAGCUUACACAUGCAAGUCUCAGCACCCCCGUGAGGAAGCCCUUAAACCCUUAGCCAGGACAAGGAGCUGGUAUCAGGCUCAAACUUUUUGCCCAUAACACCUAGUCUCACCACACCCCCAAGGGUACACAGCAGUGAUAAACAUUAUUUAUAAGCGACAGCUUGACUCAGUUAAAGAGAAGAAGGUCGGCCAACUCGGUGCCAGCCGCCGCGGCUAAACCCCCAUGGACUUAAGUUGAUACUCGUCGGCGUUAAGCGUGAUUAAAGUUAUACCAAAGUUUAGAGUAAAACCCCUUGCCCAGCUGUGAAAAGCAUGCACUGUUGAAUCCCACGAACGAAAGUCACUCUAACCCCGUCACUUGAACACACUAUAGCUAGGAGCACAAACUGGGAUUAGUUACCCCACUAUGCCUAGCCAUAAAUCCAUUUACACUUUAAACGCCAGGGAACUACGGGCUAAGCCUGAAACCCAAAGGACUUGACGGUGUCCCACCCAACUAGAGGAGCCUGUUCUACAAUCGAUGACCCCCGUUAAACCCAACCUUUUUUCGCUCUUCAGCCUGUAUACCUCCGUCGCAAAUUCACCGUGUGAAUGACAAACAGUGCAAUUUAAUGUUUACCUCAUCAGAACGUCAGGUCAAGGUGCAGCCUAUAAAAAGGAAAGUAAUGGGCUACAAUUUCUAAUAUAGAACAAACGGAAUACUUUGUGAAACCCAUCUAUGAAGGAGGAUUUAGCAGUAAAGAGAAACUAGCGUGUUCUCUUAAACACGGCCCUGGGACGCGUACACACCGCCCGUCGCCCUCCUCAAGACCUAAGACUAGUUUAUUAACCCCCUGAUAGGACAAUAGAGGAGGUAAGUCGUAACAUGGUAAGUGU